Molecule: ribosomal RNA, 518 nt
Filed under: uncultured Glomus
Lineage: Eukaryota; Fungi; Glomeromycota; Glomeromycetes; Glomerales; Glomeraceae
Description: SSU rRNA
Rfam family: Eukaryotic small subunit ribosomal RNA
Source: RNAcentral
AGCAGCCGCGGUAAUUCCAGCUCCAAUAGCGUAUAUUAAAGUUGUUGCAGUUAAAAAGCUCGUAGUUGAAUUUCGGGAUUAGUAGUCUGGUCGUGCCACUGGUAUGUACUGGUCUUACUGAUUUCUCCUUCUUGAAGAACCGUAAUGUCAUUAAUUUGGUGUUGCGGGGAAUCUGGACUGUUACUUUGAAAAAUUAGAGUGUUUAAAGCAGGCUAACGCUUGAAUACAUUAGCAUGGAAUAAUGAAAUAGGACGUUCGAUCCUAUUUUGUUGGUUUCUAGGAUUGACGUAAUGAUUAAUAGGGAUAGUUGGGGGCAUUAGUAUUCAAUUGUCAGAGGUGAAAUUCUUGGAUUUAUUGAAGACUAACUACUGCGAAAGCAUUUGCCAAGGAUGUUUUCAUUAAUCAAGAACGAAAGUUAGGGGAUCGAAGACGAUCAGAUACCGUCGUAGUCUUAACCAUAAACUAUGCCGACUAGGGAUUGGAUGAUGUUAAUUUUGUAAUGACUCAUUCGGCGUCCG